CUGGGAGCUACUUAGUCGCAGCUCCCGCCCACGCCGCCAGCCCCGCCUCGGCGCUCAAGCCCCGGCCGGGAAGCACCUGCCGAGCAGUCAAAGAAGCUUUCUGUCUAGUCUAACUGAACCAUGGCACUACCUCCCACUCCCAGCAAUCACAUCUCCUUGGAGCCUGAAGAGAUGGCAGCACAGAUGAAAGAAUGCCAGAAAACCUUGGCGUGGGCCACCGUCAACAACAGCAAACAGCUAUCAACAGCCCGCCCCCAACUCACCCUUCCUUUUUUUAGAAAAAAACAGAACCUAAGGUAUGAUGACUGGCACUUAAUCGUCUCAAAUAGAUUUAAUCGGUUAUACGGGGAUGGAAAGAAUUAAUGACAAACUGGUAUCAGUGAAUGAGGAAACUGACAACUUAGCAGCAGCUCUCCCAUGCUAGUUGUGUUUUCUGUAUCUUAAAGAUAAUGUCAUCAAUGUUCCUAUGUUGUGCAGAGUGCCACUUAGCAUGGUUAUUUGCAUCAUUACGCUGGGCAUCUGAUACAGCCAAACUCCAAGGCACCUGGUUUGCUAUAAAUAUUAGAUUCAUUUAAGAUAUAUAACGAUGCUAUUUACUAACCCUUUUGUCAACUGAUGCUUUGAACCUGCUGUAAAGUGAUCGCACCAUGUCACCAGAUGCUGCACUGAAGCUGAGGAAGUUAGCAUGAAGGUAACACUUCAUUAAAAGCAUGCAACUUACUGUGAAAUUAAUAAUGCAAGAAAAACGGAGUGGAGCAGACUUAGAAGAUCUUUAUACUUUACGUCAAAUCUCCACUAAGGAUUUUUUAAAACCUUAUUUUUCAUGGUAUCAUUGAAUAUCUUUGUUAAACAGUAAAAUGGGGUCUAACUAGCAAGAUGUUCACAACAAAAUCUGCUGACAGGGAGAACAUAGGGAAGCUGGCCCCUUCAAUGUAUGGCAUUUCAAGAGCUUACGAGUACUCCAAAGAAAACUAAGUUGUUCAUGUGUAAUGAACUGGACAAAAGCUAAAAUGUGACCUGUGCCUUUUAAACAAACAAAAACGCUCACCAUGGGGAGUAAAAAUAAAUAUAGUACAAUAUAAACCAGCCUGAGGCCAAGUGGAUUGUGGUUCAUAUUUAAGAAAAAAUCAGUUUGCAAUGUAUCAGAGUUCUUUUUAAAUUCUCUUUCUCUCUCUCUUUUUUAAAUGAAAUCAAACAUUCCAGGAAAUUACUCUAAACACUACAUCUUUCCUUGAAGGAGUACCUUUUGAUAUUCCUUGGGUUGAAAUUAGUUAAUUCUUUGGUGAGUCAGGCUAUCUGCUUUUCCGAAAACAACUUCCGUUGCUCUAAAGUCACUGAAUGCUUUUCCCUGGGCUCUAAGUUUAGAGACAGAACCAAGCCCUAAAAUGAAGAGGCCAAGAGGCACUGAGAUAGUGCAGAAUAUGAGGGAGUGAAGGAAGCUGGGAUAAUGAGUGUCACCCAGCCACCGGCCUGCAUGUAUCUCAGGGGCCGUACCAUCCCACACCAUCCAGAGCUGCAGGCCAGCAGCACUCAGCUCUGAGCUUUUCCCUGGAGUCAAGACUCAUCUCACUCCUUCCAGAGACCCAGGAGUCUUGGAGGUAUGACACAACCAGGACAAAGCUGAAUCCUGAGAGACCUGACCACUUAAUUCUCCUGCAUGUACGCAGCUGCCAAACCCACCGUGUCUCAGACCCUUGAUAUCCUUGAUGCGUGCCCAAGAGGGAAGUGCUUUCAAUGAGUUAUCCCCUUAUGAACACUCAUCCCCAGACUUACUAAGCCUCCCAUGCCUCCCUUUCCUCCUAAACUUUUCCUCUGUAACCUCCAGAAUCCCAUUCCAUCAUCAACAAAGUCCCUGAUACCCCCAGCCUCUUCACUGAACAUUCUUUAGCUUUCUAGCUCUAAGAAACUGGCUUUCCCUGUAAGCACACUGUUUCCUCGGCAGCCCUCACAAUUGGAGGCUGCUGGGUCAGGCACUUUCUGUCACACACUGCCAUUUCCAUGGGUCUCAGUUCUCUGCUGUCUGAAACCCUGGCUACAUAGCCAUUAAGUCACACUCUCUACCCCAGCUUUCAUCUACUGAUUGCCCGGUAAUGCCCUUUGUUUAUUGAAGACAUUGGCAAUGGGCCCACAGUAUUCCUUUUCAUUCCAAAUUCUGCCAAUAAUCUGGCACAUUUGGAUGUCAUGAGGCAUACAUGACCUCUCAGUUCCUUGAUUUCAUCUCUAAUUACCUUCUCCAUUCUGUUUCAAUCACCCAAUCCCACGGCCACCCCCAGGCUUUAUCAUCCAGAAACCACAGCACCUUUGAACCCAUAGCUUUCUAUUCUAGUUCUUCUCAUUUGGUUAUUUUCACUCUAUCAAUUUUCCAAACUUGUUAAGACCUCUAGUCUUUCUGUUUUCUUCUUUCUCCUUAUCUAUCAUCCAUUUGCUGUCUCCUUUUCCUUCUCUACCCAGGAAGGAUUCCGUGCUUUGUAAUGUUGGCCUCUGGCCCGUGUCCUCAACUCCAUUGUCCAUUACUCUUCUGUUUCGUCUGCCUGACAAAACUUGGAAACAUGUACCUUGAAUCUACUUGUCUGAUUUGGCCAUUCCUUUACCUGGGCUGCUGGACACUGCUGGAGAAAACCGUAGUCACACAGAUUGUGCUGCCCUAAAUUCAUGCUCAGCAACCUCAAAUGGAUCUUCAUUGCUUCUGCAAUCCUACCAUAUUCCCCUGACCUGCUUGCUUUCUUUCUGAGUCUCCAGAGCGGCUAUUUCAAGAAUUCUUCUCUCUUUCCAAACCUCCAUACUUGCCUUCUUUACCAUUCUCUAGAGGUGAUUUUAUUUCCCACUUACUGGGGGCGAGAGGAGGGGUGGUAGAAGUUAUGAGUUGCAGGCAGCCUCCUUUUCCACGCCAACCUGCAAACUUAUGUGCAUCUUCACCUUCUCACCUCUUUCCUCAACUUUGCCUCUUGGUAUAAAAGAUGUUCCCUCUCCCAUCAAAGGCCGAUCUCUUGGCCCAUCCUCUGGAUUCCAUCUCCUCCUGACUUUUCGUUGACCUCACUCUCAGUUAUUCUUUCUCACUUUAUUUAUAUAGUCAAGCUCUUCCUCUCUGCUGGCUCCUUCCUUCUCAAGUUAAAAAGAACACAUUUUGGGGCCGGCCUGGUGGCAUGGUGGUU
This is a non-coding RNA of Equus caballus (horse), 3152 nucleotides long. The record is from RefSeq and is a predicted model, not a curated record. Lineage: Eukaryota; Metazoa; Chordata; Mammalia; Perissodactyla; Equidae.